Molecule: long non-coding RNA, 17525 nt
Filed under: Phoenix dactylifera (date palm)
Lineage: Eukaryota; Viridiplantae; Streptophyta; Magnoliopsida; Arecales; Arecaceae
Description: long non-coding RNA (PDAC_LNC000027)
Source: RNAcentral
UGAGGAGGGGGAUGUCGCCCCCCGGGUGGUCCUUGACCCACCCGGUCACGUCGUAGACCUUCCCCUGGAUCGAGAUCCAGAGGUCGGCCUUGGUGUUAUGACCCCGGAGCUCCUCCGAGGUGAUGUACCUCCGCUUCUCUCCUUCCAUGGCCAUUACAAGCAAGAAGAGGAGUAUUAGCUACUCUAAUCCACUCCUCUGCCCAAAGGGAGAAUGGAAGAAGAGAUUAGGAGCUGAGGAGGAGGGAUUCCGAAACCCUCCUCUUUUUUUCUCUUCUUCUCUUCUUUCCGUCUCUCUCACUCUCCCUCUCCGUCGAAGAGAGGGAUGAGAAGAAAGAGGAAGGGGAAGACGAGCUUAUGGCCGCGGAUGGGAGGCUAAACAUAGGCCGGAACGGAGGGAGGAGAAGAAAAUGCUCGCGAAGGAGACGCACGAAUCGAGAUUGGGAAUGCUGCAGCUGUAACCGCCGUAACAGCAGCUGGGAUUGGAUCUUUUAUUUUUGAGCGGAAUUCGUUUUAGAUUUGGAUUUCUUCGGAUCUUUGACCCGAUUUUGGUCUCUCGAGGGGAACGAACUUCCCGUCUUUUGGAACCGCUCAGAUACUAUUACCGUGGGGGAUCCAAAUGUAGAACGAAUCUUUUUCUGCCAGCCGACUCAAAUGUAGAAGCAUUAAGCACCCGUCCAUAAAAAAAAUUUGUUUGGCUUUUCACUUAUUUUUAUUUAAGGGUUAACUCCUCCGAUGUCGAUCAAAUAUGCCGGACUUCCAUUAGCAUGAAUUGUUUGAUUUCUGCACUUCUAGGGCACAAAAUGAGCUGCUGGUAUUCUUAGAUGAGUUGCAUCUGUUGUUGAUUUCUCAAUCAUACUAUCUUGGUUACUUUGCCCAAUGGAAAGUACGCGUUCUCAAGAAUAUACUACAAAAAUUAGCUAGUGAAGGAAUUGAUUAAAAAAACUAUUAAUUGAAAAAAUUAAGCUACUGAUCAAAAUAGUUUUGAGAAUAAUUCAUGACAUAUUCUCAAGUCUUGCAACUUAUCUUAUUCUUACCUUUGUGCACUUCUUUUCAACUAUCCUAUUUUCAGCUCUACUAAACCCCCAUUUAAGAAGAUCAGUUUGGUGAUCUAAUACAGCAUUGGUCAUUAUUCGUGCAUUUAAAUACAUAAAAAGUCAUGAAUUGAAAUAUGUGAAAAAUGCUGAGGCGAUUCACAUGAAAAUUGACUUGAUGAAUGUUAGACACAGCCUAGGGUUGGACUCAACAUGUCUUUGUUCAAAUGACAACAUCGUGCCUAUCUGACUUCCCACAGACACCAUUUCUAUAAUUUGGGUGCUGAAAUAAUAUAUUUUUCUCCUGCAGUGGGAGACAAUUAAGUGUUAUACUUUUCUCACGUGGAUGGUAACCAAGUUGAAGUCAUGUACGCAGGAUCAAGGAUGCAACUUGGAUGGGGAUUAACCCUAACCCACCCACCCAACCCAUUUGUUAGGUAAGGUUUCGGUUGAGGCUUUGCAACUUUGGAUUAGGUUUUUGAGUUCAAAAAUCCCAAGCAGACCUCAAGAAGGGUUGAGCUAGGAUUGAUUUUCAACCCAGUUUGGACCCAAAGCCAGCGUAACUUAUAGCAAACCUAAGCUGAUCUAAGCCAACCUAACAUAACUCAAUCCAAACCAACAACAUAAAUAAAUAAUAUUCAUGUUUCAUAUAGUUUCUAAUAUAAUUAUAUAAUUAUAUAUUUAAUUUAUUAAAUUAUGUCUAAGUGUAUCAUUGUAAUUGAUGAAUGUUUGAUGCUUCAGGCCAACAAAUAUUGAUUUAAGAAAACUAUUUCAAACUUUUUUCCUUAUCUUUAAAUUUCUAUUUAAUUCAAUCUAACUAAAUUAACACGGUGCAACACAACUAAAUCUGCCUAACAACAACCCAUCCAAAUUUAGCUUGAGAUGGAGUUGUUUUGGAUUUUGUUAGAGAAAAUCCAACCCGAGGCUAUGCUGGGUUAGGCUAGAGCUGGAAGAUAUAGAGGUUAGUCCAAUUAGGGUUUGCCUCGACUUGCUUGCGACCUACGUUAGAUUGUAGCAUGACAUUGCCCAUUUGAGAAGGUAGGAGAAAAAAUAUAUGCCAUAACAAUUGAGAUACCAAAAUUAGUUUUUAUAUAAUUUUAUAUCACAAAGCUUUAAUAGAUAUCAAGAACUAAAGUUAUUAAACAAGUAAGAUUUUUGUUCUAGCCAACCGACCUUAAUUAACCCUGCUGGUUGGCACUUCUCUCCGAUUGGAAGAGGUUUGUGAUCCAAUCCCUAAAAGGGUGCCCUUGUUAUUCUUGCAAUUACUUAGAUAAGCUCCAUCAAUGAUUGGUGGAUAAAUAACUAGCUUAUGGGUCUCGCCUAUAGUACAGCUUUUGCACUGCUCCGUUACCAACCAUUGAAUGAUGGAGUCCUCACAUAUGGUGGUCAAUGGUUAAAAAAUAACUGGAGCCAAGUUCCUGCUGGUACCCUCAGGGCACUGAACACAAACCUCAUAUAUUAAAAGAACAGUGAAACACAAAUUGAUUGGCUCCAGUUAGUAUCCCUAGUUGGGUUGGAUCUCGUGGGAUUUAAGUUUGGUUGGGUCUGAAAUCCAUAUCCAACAGUCUUCGUCACAUAAUAUUUCCUCAACGGAUCAUCACAACCAAAUCAACCAAUGUCAUGAACCAAUGAAAUAUUUCACUACCAUCACUGCAUUUUAUUUGGUACAAAGGCAUCUCAUCAUGAUGCAAUCUUCACAUCCAAUUUGUUUCAACCAACAAAACUGCCGAUUUCAAACCACAUCUGAUCAUCCAAUUGGUUCCAUAGCUUUGUGAGAGAAGAGGAUCCAAUCACAUCAUAAUGCAUCAACAACAAUGCCGAGAGACUUGCAUUAAUGGAGUCAUCCCAAAAUACUCCAGCAGGUUCAGAGAUAACUAGUGUCCUCGAAUAUUUGUUAACACAGAAGAUCCAGUUUCUUUUAUAUCUGAGAUAGCAUUUCCUAUAUGAGUAGCUCCAAUAUCUGUUACAUCUGAGGUCGCAUUUCUCAUAUGACUGCGUCUCUUGGUUUCCCUUGGUCUCCUGUUACUGAUGGCAAUGGAGAUGUCAUUUGGAAAGAGGUCAUUGAGCACAAAUGCAUGAAUGAUUGUGGAGGCAAGCAGAGCUAUCACUGCUGAGGUAGAUAUGCCAGAGAGUGCAACAGAAAGUGACUGAGUGAAAAUAUUCUCCACUUCAGCAGAAUAUCUAAUGGUUGCAAUAGAAGCACUUGUCAUUGGAAAUGUAUAUGCCCACCAUGCUAGUGAGAACCUAUUGGAUUAACAAAAGAUUUCAGAAAAAUAACAGGAUGAUGGGGCAGCAAGACGCUAGGUUAUUGACAGAGUGAUUAUAAAAAAUCGAGUACCUGAAUCCCCGGAAAAAGUUAAUACGAACAGCCUGCAAAUACACAGAAAAAUGCAAAUAAUGAUCAGACACCAAUUUAAAGAAAACAAAGGUAAAGAUCAAGUAUGGAAAUGUGUUCAGAUCUGUUGGUUUUCCAUGCAAGCAAGCAAGAUUCCUCACAAUAAAUGGAUAGCACAACCAUUAGCACUAUCUCAGGCACUAUAUACCAUUCCAAUUAUUCUUCCAUUGAGCAUGCAAUGAUUGCUAAAUGGACCAUGAUUUAACUCAUCAGGAACCACAGAUUGCCACUUGAUAAACCAAAUUUUAUUGUUGUUCUUUCGUGUAUAUCUAUAUUUUGCGCGAGGUUCUAAUGGAAAACAAGCUACCACUUAUAUUUCCUUCUGUCAGUUUUAUUAUGUGACUUAUAAUUCUCACUAAUUCUGUCAGUAUGGGAAUUUGCUAGUCAUAUAAAUGUUUAUUUGAACUUCUAUCUACUUCAGAACACACAACAUAAACAACUGAACAGUGAAGUGCGAGCCCUUAACUUACCAGAGAAACAUAGAGGAAGAGAGCAAUGAAGUACGCAAUCCUCGAGCUAUAGCCAAAUUCCCCAGUAAGAUUUGCCCAUGCCAUGCUCGCAACACUGGGUGCGGCCACAAAUAAAAAGAAGACUGGAUGAAGCUCCUUUGGGAGCGUCUCAUUUGUUGGAAGCCUCUGGUACAAAGUUACGAACAACACCGAGUAGUGAGCUAACCCGACUGCAAAGAAGAAUAUGGGCCCUUCUUUAAGCCCCAUUGACGCUCCCAGCAAUGCACCCACAAAGUUUCCUACGAUAGCUAAAUGGUUUGAUGGAUUGGCUACUUUUGAAAGCCUACGUUGGCCGCCAGACAUCCACUGGCCAUAGAUCUUGAGUUCGAGGCACAAGACUGGAGCCAUAAGCACAUACCAUAGAGCAUCAUGCAGGUUUACUGCAAGUUUUGGUGGCAAACCGAGUGUCAAGAAGAGGCAGUUUAUCCAUGGGGCAAAGAAAAAGUUGACACGGAUGGGAUGAUAGUACUCUCGGCGGACUGCUUCAAAGUAAAAUAUGAUCUUUAGAGAGUAAAUGAAGGCCACAAUGCCCGUCAAUGCAAGUGCUAUACACCACAGCAUGAGGUUGAUUACUGGGCUUACACGCAGAAAGCUCAUAGAUGGAGAUGUGGCUAAUGUUUUCCACAAGAUUGCUUGGCUGCUAACGCCAAGGCAAAUACCGAAGGAUGAUACUGGGAAGCGAAGAAGGAAAGGCCACAACUUGUCUUCAGGAAGGACCAACUCCUCUGAUGCCUGGAAAAAUGUAACUAGUGAGAAAACGAAUCAUGAUGAAAUAGGAAGUUGAUAAAUGUAAAAAGUGGAAUGCUCUUAUUGCCUUCAGGAAGAACUUACUGCAAAUCAUCGAAUUCUCUUAUUGGUGUUCAAUGAGAUUUAAGGAAUAAUUAAUGGCUAGACUGAUUACACCAUGAAACCACAAAAAAGACCUAUAGCGUUGUCUGGACUUGAUAUUAGGCUGCAUGCACUUCUAUAAUUAACAGCUUUAUGCCCAACUCUAAUACAACACCCUGAACCUUUGGUAUUAUGAUAAUAGAUAUUCCAUUAUGAUGCAGACACCAUACAUCAGUAGAUGUUUUCUCAAUUUUACAAAGAUGGAGAGCUUACUGGUGGAAUCAAUAAUAAAUAAAAAUGAAUAAAUAGUAAGAAUCAUGCUAUCGAAUGUCCAAGAGAAUGCAUACCCUGAGGGUGUCUAGUUCAGGCCCUUCUAAGGCAUCAAAGUAGCGAUGCGGGGCUGGUACUGGCUCCGGUUGUCUUUUUGAACCAUCAACCUCCUGUGACUCUGGUGCCUUUCCGCGAAAAACUGAUAUCUGUCUUUCAAGGGCACCAGACCAUGUCUUGAAAGAGUUGUAACGGUGGUCCUUAAGCCUACUACUCCUUGGUACCCUCUGCUGACUCCCUGAAGAAUUAAGACCCUUUCUGUCUGGAGUUCCCCUGGCUUGAGAUGCUCCUGCUUCCAUGGGUUGAGAGUGAAACUUUGCCUGCUUUGGUACUUGUAAGUUGACAGCAGGAGAGUUAAUAACUAGAUUUGGCUUCAUGUUAGCAGAAUUCGUAGCAGCUUGAUCAAUUCCACUGGCUCUUUUGGCUUGUUCUGCGAGAACAGAAGGAGACGGUGGCAUGCUGAUAGACACACAAUGUGAAUGAUAGGGUGGUCUUAUCAUGCGAAUGGGUGAAUUUGGUGAAGGCGUGUUACAGACACUACCAGUGAGAAAAUUUGUAGGUUCUGCUCCCUGAAAUGAAACAUGAGAAGAUAGUUUGUUAUUGCCCUCCAUAAAUAAAAGAUAACACAAAAUUAUAGAACUAACCUAGUGUUGUUAGAAAAAACAUGUACGUGAAAGUAGGCUAAAUUCCACGAAAUUUAGGAGAGGUAUUGAAUACUACUGCGCUGCUAAUGAACCCCGCUCUGAUCCUAACUCAGUUCCUUGUUCUAUGUGGCAAUUGGGCAUUGGUGCAGUACGGAGGGCCACGGAGCACCGCAUUGGAACAGGGAAUGGAGCAGGGAAUAGAGUGAAGCUCGAUAGCAUUUUUCAUCCAAAUUAUAUGCAACAACAUAUACAUAACUUUAAAGAAUAUUAAACAAAGACAUGCUACAUUAGGAAGUUCAUUUCAAGAAUAAACUUGGAAUAUUUCAAAAAAUUGAAGUGGUAGAUGAUUAUGCGGCCAUUUUGGUGCCUUUUAGAACUAAAACUUGAUCAUGAAAAUGCUAUAAAAGAUAUAGCUUACUUUAGAGGCUGCAGGAUAUCCGCGAGGGCUGGGACAGGUAUCAAAUCCAGCAAAUUCAUUGGAUUGGAUGUAUCUGAAAAUAGAUGGAAGUUCUUCAGGGGCACCUUGAAUUGCUAAGCCAAUGCUGUCUUUGUUGUCCAUUAUGGUGCAAUAAAGCUACAAGAAUUCGGGAAAUCAGAUACAAGCAUUAAUAUUUACCAUGAAAUCUCUGUCAGAUUGACUAUAGAAAUUGUAGUGUAAUAUCCACAAAAUAUUGGAAGGAAAAAUCACUCAUACAAUAAGAAGAAAUUUAACUUAAUUGAGGAAAUUUUCAAGCUGCUAUCUCCAAAGAUAGAUCCUAAUAACAAGUAAUACCAGCAAUGAUGCACUCCUUCAGCCUAAAAAACAGAAAGCGAGAGGGAUUCGAGCUCAAAGGAGUCUCUCUCAACCCUUGCACAAACAAAAGCUACACUGUUACAUCUUGACUAAUAGGAGUUAUAAACACAAUAUACACAGGCCUCGAAGCUAGUGAUAUAGGAAGCAAUAAACAACCGAACGUAGCAUGUGCUUUCGAUCAUUUUUCAGGGGAGAUUCCUUACGUUAAGGAGCCUCUCUCAAACCUCAUAAACGAAAUCUCCACUGGUCCUUCUUGGCAAUGGAAGUUACAAAGAACGAGCUAAACUUCUUCGGUCUAGUGGAAUAAGAAGAAUAAACUAAAGAGCAGAACAUGUGCUUCCAACCGCCAGAGCUGGAGAAGAUUUCUAAGUUCACUUCGAUACAGAAUGGUGGAAAUGCCAACGAACGCACAAAUAAACCUUUUCCCACUACGGACAAACCUCAACCUUUAUAUACAAACAGAUCAGAAAUCUUAACCACCAUGAAUGCAUCACACAGUAACCACUGAAACUUCCUUAUUUUACAUCUACUAAGAUCAAAAUUCUUUAGAAAUAUAAUAAUUUUUUAUAAUUCAUUUAUAGGGUAUGGCUAAAAUAGGAAGCAAAUCAACAUCAGUAAUUAAACUGCUACUGGCCUUUUCCCAUGCAUGUAUAAUAAAUUGUGCUACCCAUGUUGUGCGAUUCUAGCUUGUAUAAAUCAUCUCUCACGACCAGCAUCCAAGCAAUCCAUCUCCAAGACAUCUUUGCCCAUAAAUAAUUCAUCUCCAUUAUCUCACGUUACCUUCUUCUCAGAUAAACACAAAGAAAACCAAUCUUUUUUAAUGAAACAACAUCCAAAUAUCAUUUUGUGGCUAAAUAUACUGCUUGCCAAUGAAAACAAAAAAUGUGGAAUCAUUGAUGGCAAAAAAAAAGGAGGAUCAUUACUUUAAAUAAAACCAAACAAAUUGCAUCAAGUUUUUCUUAUCGAAUACCACCCGAUUGCCAUUAAGUCAAGAUCAAAACUUUCCACCAAAAUUGAAAAAAAAAAAAGAAGAAAGGAGAUCAAAACGGAGCAAAAGAACCCAAGAUACCUGAAAGUGGAGGGCAAAUCAAUAUUUGUUUGACGGAGACAAAUCUAUAUUCUCGUUUUUGUUUGAAAUCUUGAACGAAUUACAGGUCUCCCAAGCACAGUAGGGGAUUCACCCCCUUCGCUACGUUCACCGACGCACAGCAAGAGAGACAAGAUCCUCAUGGCCUCGGUUCUAUAGCGACGGGCAGGGGAGCCCUUGAGCUCGGGAAAAGCCCUCGCUUUUCGAAGCUGCUUCGCCGGGGUCCGAAGCUAUUGCCAUCGCCAUUGUGCCUUUUUCUUUGGAUGCUAUUUUCCCAACCCCAAUUUGCGAGGGAAAUUUAGACGGGACGUGGGAUGAUUUGGAAUCAGACACACGAUACGAGACACGUGGCAUCACUCAGGAUAUCCAGAACAGCAUGGGGACCGUGCGGUCCAGGUCCAGCGAGUAUUGACCACGGUGACGGUGGAGGACGAGGGGGUCGAACCGUUGACCGGUUUGGGGUGAUGGGACGCGACUUCCGUGGUCGUUGCGGAAUCCACGGGAUAGAUUCGCGUGCUCGGGGCAUCUUGGUUCGCAGCAACUUGAACUUGAUGCUGAUAGACGGACGACCACCUCUCUGGUCUCGAGUGAUCUUUUGACCCAAAUUUGUCCACGGCUCAAGGCUAUUCUCUUUACCGAUUAUUAGCAAGUAGAAAUCUCAUUUCAAUCUGGAAAGCAAGAGCACGGAGGAACAGGUGGAUCUGAAAUAACAUGGAAACUGGUGGAUCUGAAUGAUGGCAUGAAACUGGCAGAAGAAGGCAUGCAUCAUCCAACACAAAUUGAUUAAAGAGGUUCAUGUGAUCAUGCCUUUCUCCAUACUAUGAAAUAAACUUAUUAGAAAUCGUAAUGUCAAUAAUAAUUUCAUAACCACCAACAUUGAUUAGCUAUAUGGAAGCUUGCACUAGCCAAUUAAUCGAUUGCUGGAAUGCAAACUACAUAUAUAAACUCAUAUUCGCAAAUUAAUCAGCUACUGGAAUGACAAUCAUUUGUAUCAAACAAAUCUGAUUACCAAACUAUGACACCUUACUUUAACUUCUAUCACAUUAUGACUUGUAAGCAGACCAACAGACAAAUUCACAAGCAGUUUGGGUUCCGCUAGCACACACCUGACAUGGACUAACAGGGUAUAAAGCAAUAUUCUUCAUCAAAUGUUAGCAAAAUCUUCCUGCAUAACACUUGCAAAGGCUGAUAAUUCAAAAAACUGCGCUUAAUUCACAAUACUAUUACAACUAUCACCUUAGCAAGCCCUGCUGAAUUAAUUCUGUUUUUCUUUAAGGAGAUCGCAUCAUUAAGGGAAAAAAGAAUAAAGCUUGUGUCAAUCAGGCUACAAUAACACAUUUCAAUGGUAUCCCUUCAGCAGCAGAAAACAUUGUAUUAAACAUCGAACCAUCUCAAAAUCUAAUACAACGUGUGCAACCGUCUGAACUUUUCAAGAUGGCCAUCUCAUCUAAAGCCACGAUGCACGACACAGAAAGACAGCUUCAAUGCUUGCUCUAAUAAGUUAUUGCUUGCUGUGAACAAGAUAGGAUGCCCAGACUUCAUCUGAAGGCUGUGGUGGCUGAACCCAGUGCCCAGGUAUCCGGCUGCACACAAUUUUUCACCAAACAAGAACUAUUAAUUAGAAAAAAGCAAAGGUUAUGAACCUUCUUUUCACUUUGUUUUUAAUGCAGAAUGAUGGGAGAUUUGGUGAAAGAAUAAUGAAGAACAAGAAACGGAAACUGCAAUAUUUUAAGCAACACUAGCAGAUAAAAGCCAUUUUCGUUUCAGAGCAGAACCAACUGUUCAGUGAAAUACAUAGUUAUCCCUGCAGAAUCAAUCGGAUAGCAAUAUACAACAACUAUAGAAUUGAAUUUGAAAUCAUUAUCUGGUCGUUCCUCCUUUUCCAUAAUUAAAAAUAAUUGAGAUUCAGAAGUUCAUUGCAUAUGCAUUUCUGAGCCCUUACAAGGACAGUAUGUCUCAAAUAUUUCUUGAGAAAGUAACAUGAUGAAGCAAAAUUUAGUGCAUCAGAUUAUCAUAGAAAGAAAAUGCAAACCAGAAAUUUUAUAAAAUAUUUAGCUUUCAUCAGCUUUUGACAAUAUUGUAAGAGUUAUGGGUGACCUCCGAGAGAGUUCAGAAAGGAACGAAUAUAAUUGAUAUAAUUGAUAUAAUUCAUGAUGUUGUAUUCCUUAUAUAAUUGAUAUUGGAUGCUGGGAUAUAUUUCGAACAUCAAAAUGAAUUAUUUCAUUACUUCCUAUUUCUAGCAUAGCUCACAUGAGUUAACAAGGAAGUUGGAGCAUACACACCUUCCUCCAGGUCUGAUGUAAGCAUCCCACAUUUUUCUGACCUGAAAAUGAGAUAGAAUACAAUAAGGAUUCACAUGAUGAUGACGAUACCUAUCAAAUCACAAAUACACAAAAAUGCAGAAAUCAUAAUCUUUGGACUGCCAGCAUUUCAAUAAGGUAGGAGAGCUUAACACAAGAAUGAAGAGUUUGAGAAAGAGAGGAACUAGAUUACAAGGGCGUCAAACUUUUAAGAUACCAUAUAAAAGGCAUCUCUUACAAACUAAAUUCACGCCUUAACAGCACCCUAUCAGUGACAUUAAUGGAACUCCUGAUCAAACCAUUGUGCGUCUAGCAUUCAAGAUAGCACCAUUGGCAUUGCCUACUGUGCCAUUGAAGAAAUCAUCAAAUAUACAUUAAAUCACCUGUGCUCUCACACUAGGCUGUAAUAAUACCAAACUAGUUUGCAGAAAGAAAAAUAAGUUUAGAAAGAUAUUAAUGAAAGGAAAGAAGUCAAGAGACACAAUUUGCAUGGUUGGGCAAAUUUGAUAAAUCCAAAAGGUCUUGUCUGUUCAAAAUUUUCAUGAUAUAGUAAAAGGACAUCUAGCAGUUGCUCCAAAGUCUGCACACCUAGAGUGCGUAUCUAAAAUUACCGACAGUAUGCAUGCGUAUUUGUGCAAGAAAGUGACCAACUUUAGUUUUUUAAUAAUAUCAAAAAGAAACCACAACUCUGAACUGGUAGAUGACCUUGCUAUCUAGAUAUAGAUUACACCCUCCUCCAAGAUGGAAGGAGGAAAAAACAUAGAGAGAGAGAGAGAGAGAGAGAGAGAGAGCAAGACGAAAACAAAAGAAAUAACUAANNNNNNNNNNNNNNNNNNNNAAAGAAAGAAGAGAGAGAGAGAGAGAGAGAGAGAGAGAGCAAGCGAAACAAAAGAAAUAUACCCCAAUGGCACAUGCAUGCACAAAAACAAGAAAAAGCCCCAAAAGGAAAAAUAUAAAGGUUUCAAAAGGUGUAACUUUCAGUAGUCAGAAGCAAUAUAACUGAUUUGCCAAAACUGAUAAAUUUAAUUCUAAGGAAAUGCAUUAUUUAAUAUCAUAGAGAUGCAUUGAGAAUUUUGUGACGACUGUUACUGAUGUCUCAGCAAUGUGAUCAUGCUUAGAAAGUUGACUGCAAAUUGACUUAGUAUUCUCAUAAAAAAAGUGACUCAAAUCAUGAACAUAACAGAUAAUCGGUAGUAAUCAGUACACUCAAAAGUUAAAGUUGCACAUAUAUUUCAUUGAAUCACCUCAAUUAGUGUUCCCAUAUCAUUGCUGCUUCCAUGAUAAUAGUGGUAGAACUCAAAUGGUAAAUUGGCAACGAAAUCAUAGCCUCCACCACAAUUUUGACCUUCAACUUUUUGUUGUUCAGAUUUCAGGUUUGCAUUUAGAUCUGAACUUCUUUCACCUUCAAUUCCACCUAACUGGUCUUCGUUCACUACCACCACACCUUUAUUAUGAUUUACAUCAUUUGCUUCACUGUUUGCACUGUGGAUAGCUUUUCUAGAUUCCUCCGCUGUUGCAAUAGCAUCCUUAGCAGCAUUUGUGUCAGCAGCAGCUGCAGCUUGGCGCUCCUCUUCUUCAACAGCAGCUUGCACUCGCUCAAGAAAUUUAUCAUCCUCUUCUGGGAGAAAAUGACCUGUACAAGUAAAAGCUUAUAUAAAAUUCAAUAAAAUUAAUCUUAUAUUACAGGACCCUUCUAUUGGUCUUAUAUUACUGGACCCUUCAAUUUACCCGCAACCCAUUCAAUCUCUUUGAUGAUCAACUGAUAGGCCUUUUCCACAACAGAAACUGUUGUUUAAUUUGGCUAACAUGCAUUACACUAGAUUCAACAAUUCUUACUCUCAUGACUAUAAGGGUGAGAAAGGAUUCAAGAUGAUACCAGCACUGAUGCAAACACACAUACACAAAUCCCAAGAAUCAGAAAGGCAGCAAUUUUUAUCAGCAUUACAAGUGGCAAUAAAAUCCAGUUUGUGUAAUGAAUGAACUAAUGCUCAUCACAUGCAUCUCACUACAAGGAGUACAGCUGUCAACCAAACUGAUUUUCCAUCUCAACUUAUAAAGUUAUUAAACAAUACAUUUCAAGUCAAGAAGAAAUGAGCUUUUUAAAUAAAUUUAGCAAUGUAUGCACACAAAUAAUAUGAGCAAAUCUGGAUUUUUCAGCACAGCUGAACUAGAUCUGAUCCAAGAUAAAGAUUCAAAAAUAAAUAAACAAUUAAAUACAAAACUUAGAAUACAAAUAUAUGUGUGAUGCAAGCAAAGGGAACAUGCCUUGUUUCUUCAAUUUUUGAAUUCUGAUGGACCGAAGCUCUUGCAACUUCUCCACAAUUAAUACAAGCUCAAGCUGAAAUUAGACAAUUAUUGGUUGAGAAAACAAAAUUUGCCAACGCCAAUUGUCUUUAUAAAUACCCUCCAACCAAACAUCUAUGAGAAAACAGUUAAGAGGGGAAAAAACAUUUUUCCAUUACAUGUAAAUUUAUUCUACAUGAAAGAAAACUAGCUUCAAAAGAACAGGUGCAAGGGAUAGUGCCAGAAAUGAUUAACAAGAAUAUACAGCCUGUGUUUAUUCAAUACAGUUAGAAAGUAGGCAAGUCAUUAUAAGGAAUUAAACUAAAAAUAUACAUACCACCAAAUAAAGGACAGUAACUGCAAAUAAAAAGAGAUAUUGGGCACAGUAGAGUAUGCACUCAUAUUAUCAGAAAAGCGAAGCAAAAAUUCAGAAGAUGUUGUAAGCAAAUGAAGCUUAGCGGUUAAUAUAAGAUUGAGCCCAAGAUUUUCUCAAAGAAAAAGAUCAAGCCCAAGACGUUGCAUGCAGUGUUUUCAUGCUUUAGCCUUAGUAUAUUGUCGAAGACAAACAAGUGAAUCAAAAUCAUGCACUGGUCUACGAGAUAAAUGUUCAAGGAACUUUCUAACUUUAGCACUAGCUAGGAUAAAAGGUAUUUAGUUACAUGGUAAGACAGCUAUUAGAUACAGGCUCAUGCAUGUAAAAAGGGUGUCAUCCUGAAUAAGGAACACAAACACAUGGGGAAUCAUAGUCCAUUCCUCCUACACUUGCAAUGUCUCUAGACCAUUAAGUACAGAAAACUCACAUGCUCAUCAAGUAUAACAUAACAGAAGUCAACUGUGAGCUUUCGGAUAGUAAAAAAUUAGUUAAAUGCUUAAUAAUUAAUACAUUCCAAGAUUGCAUUCAAAGCAUCCAUGCGAUAUAUACGUCUGGAAAGUCUCACCUCAGAUUCUAGCCUUCUUUUCUCCUCGUUAGCUUUGAGUUUUGCGAUUUCCUUCAAUUUUUCUGCCUGCAAUAUCCAUUUUACAUUACCCUUAGCAGAGGAUGAAAGCCACAAAUGGUCUUAACUAAAUAAAGGCAAGAUCAUAUGGCAGUCCAGCUAAUACUAAUUAAUGCUUGAGAUGUUUUCAAAAAGACCAGCUACUAAUUCCAUCCAAAAAAUACUGUUUGCCCCUUCUACUUCUCAAUGCUAUUAUUUUGUUGGAUUAUUAAUAUGACCUGAUAAGGUAGAGCUUCAGUCGGCCCCCAUCCCAUUACCAACACAAUCCCACCACGAAAUGGUUUUUCACUUUGACAAUGUCCUUCCAGAUCCUACUUGUCUAGACAUUCUACUCACCUCUGUUUGACCUUUACUCUAAACAGCAUUUUCUAAAAUCCUUCACCCUCAUCACCGAGUCUCCACACCCAAUCUCAACUAACAAGGCCUUACUCAUAUUCAUCAACGUUCUAACAUGAACAAUCCUUGAUUUCUGGACAUGAAACUAGGGUCCUAAUUCAUCAAAUGAAGUUUCCUAAUUGUGGGAAAUGCUCUCCCAUCUCCCAUAGAAUUCUUCCACAAGAUGCAGGAGAUAUGAGAUUUCAAAAGCGAUAAAUCAGUAUAAUGAAUCAUUUUUACCACUCUAACAAAUGGAUGCAGAAAAUGAUAUCUGAAACAAAAGCAUGAAAUAAGUGGGAAAAAAUUAUUCACAACACGAAGCAAGAAACCAAGACAUAAGGCAGGUGAGGAAUGCACCAAAAACUGCUAUACCACUAUAACAUUGCUGAGCACUUCUUUCCCUUUGAUUCAUCAUAUCGUACCCAUGUAAUAUGAAUUGCACGAGAUAGCUCCCAUAAAAUCAACCCUAAAUUUGCAGGAGAGCAGCUUACUCUUCCAAAUAAGCAGUCUCCCACAUCCAUGUCUGUAUCCUAAUUACGCCUCUUUGAAAUCAUAACCAUAAUCAUCUAGUCAGGUUUAUGGAUCCUUGUUUGCCAACAAUUUGUCCUAGAUUACCACUAGAAGACUUAAAAUCUUAAAUAACUCUUACUCAUUUGUCACAACAACAAGGUUACAUUGUAGCAGGUCACUUAUGGGCAACGACCUAACCAACCUUUGUCCAUUUGUCACUCCAACUGGGUCACAUUGAAGUGGGUCAUUUACGGACAACGACCUAACCAACCACUCCUCAUUUGUUACUACAGCCAAUUCAUUCGGCGGGUUGCUUAUGGAAUAUACCCUACACUUCAAGAAAUCAGCCCCUAAUCUAUUUCGCCCAAAUUUUAACCUAAGCACCCCUUAAACUACUUGUAUAUAGAGCUUUCUGAUAUAUGACAAUAAAUGAGUAUAAGAUAGCAAAAUAUCAAAAUGAACAGAUAAUAUGGUACCUUGCGCCUUGCAAUGUCAUUGGCAAUCUCCCUCAUCCUCCAUUCAUCAGCUUCCUGAUCAGCUUUUUCAUAACCUUCACGCUCCUGUGGAACAUUAAACACCCCAAAAAAUAUCAUUUGUUUACAAAUACAAAGUAGUAUGAUGGUGUGAGAUAACAGACAGCUCAAUAACUUUAGCAUGCUUAUCAAUAUUUAUCUAGAGAUGAACGAGAGGUGCUCUGAUUUGGCAAACGAAACAUGAACAACCUUACGUAUUAGUUCUGCAACACGUUUUCUCUUUCUUUUCUUCCAACGUUGGUUCCUCCUAGACUUUUGCAGCUUCUGAGCUAACUUUACUGCCACCAACCUUUCUUCCCAUGAACUCGCUUGAUUUGUGAUUACACUGAAAGGUGUAAGUUGAUUUUUAAGAGUAGAAAAUAUAGAGCUUGCAGCUUCCAUUGCAAAAGUCUCUUGAGCAUUUAAACUGAUCAUCUUUGCUUUAACUGUCUCAGAGAACUGCAGAAGAAUGUCAUUCUCGACAUGCUGAAAGGCGUCUCUAGCAAUGGUGUCAUUUGAAGACUGCAAGAUUUUUCUUUCUGAUAGGUGAUCAAAGGAUGAGAAGUUAUCUCUAUCAGCAUUAUCUUGACUGGAACUUCUAAUACGAUGAAUUUCCUCCAGUUCUUUCUGCCUGUUCGAGACAUAAUUUUGAUUAUAAGAAUUGAGGUUAAAAAAAAUGAAAAAUAACCUAAAUGUUUAGAAAAUGAGAAACAUACACUGCUUUCAUCAGAUCAAUAGUUUCUUUUAACUUUCUUAGCUGCUCAUGCACAUGUUCUGGUUGCCAGAAAGAACUUGCAGCAGACUGAAGAGGUUGCCAUGCUAGAAAUUGAGGUGGUGCAGACGAUCGUGGUGCUGGAAUCAUAGUGCAAAUGCCGGAGAAAGAAGCAACUGCAUGGGACGCAAUCUCAUUUGUAAACAACACAGAUAACUAGCAGCUGCUUAGAUUAAAUUAGCAAUUUAACAAAUAUGAAAUUAUCAUAUAUUCACAUAGCAAAUAACAGAUAUAGAUGGAACACAAGAAAGAAGGAAAAGUGUGUAAUGAUAGAUAAACAAUUAUGCUCAAAAAGUCUUCACACCCUUUGUUUGUUUGCAAUCAUGUCAUACACAACAUACCUCACCCUUCUGUCUUGUCAACAUUCAUCAAACAUGUAUCACCAUCCAUUCCAAUCACAAAGACCUCCUCAAGAUGCUUCUCUCAGAAGGUACCAAUAUCAAAGCAAUAGACAUCAGAUCUCUACCUACAUUUGGGUAGGGACUGGUUACAGUAUACCUGAAGCCCUAUAUCAUCACAUUCAGUGAAUGUAAAAACAACCUCUGCAAAGAAAGCACUAUAGUAGUCAAGCUGAUUCAUGGUCCACUUUUGCUGGAUGUGUCAGCCACUGACUGGGAGGCUUGUAUGCCAAAGCAAGAAAGGCCCAUCCUUCUUUCUCCUAUACGAAACUUUGGCAUCUGCCGUCACCUCACAAAAUACAAGCCAUUAUAUUGUAAGUUAUUCUGGAAAAUUGCCUCCCGUUAACAGUUUUAGAAGAAAUGGUGAAAGUACAUAGCCAAAAAGUUCUCAUGAAAAAUGGUCGUAUAUAGACAAUAACUUUUGCUGCUUCAUUUUUCAUAGCACUAUAAGGUUUCUAAUUUACAAUUUCUUUGGAGCUAGGAUUAUGAUACCCAUCACAAGGUUGAACACUUUAUAUGAUUGGUUACUCAAGGAAAAAAAACCUAGCUUUGACAGUUUUAAGAUAAAGAGCACUACCUCAUCACUGGUGGUAAAUAAUGUCUUAAAUACCUAUAAAAAUCAAAACAAUCUUGCAUGCAAAUCCACAUUCGAAAUGAAAAAUAGAUAAAUAUAUUCCAUUAUCCAAUCAAAAUGCACCACAUGAGUAUCAUUCAAGUCAUCAAUGAAAUAUUGACCAAAUGAAGUUUGCAAAAUAGAAGCCUGUAUAUUUGAUCAAUGCAAAAUAUGUAUGACUACACAAAGACCAUAUGUGGAGGACCAUAUGUGGGGAAGGAAGAAUCUACAGUACUUGCUCGUUCUAAGGAUUACAGGAAAAUAAGAGAAGCACCCGCCUUUGCCAUGGUGCUACUAAUAUGCUCUUGUGGUGGAGAGGAGGAGGAGAACAGAAUGGAAAAAUAAAUGAAACAAAAUGCAACCCUAAUUUGCUCAUUAAGACAAGUUAACAACAGGAAAUGGUCAGAAGGAACAGGCACUCUUGCAUACUACAAAAUAGCUAGCAUGUGUGUCAUACAUAAAUGUACAGGAAAGAUUUACAAGAUUUAAAGAUGCUAGAGUUAUGUUUAAUAUAGCAGAGUAUAUAGUGAAGAAAAAAUCAAUGGGCUUGAUAAGAUCAAGACCUGGAAGGCAUAACAUGAGGAAAGCAUGAGGCAAGUCACUCUGCCCAAGCAAUGAUGAUAGCUUGUUAACCAUCAUGUGAAUGAAAAAAAAAUAUAAAAUGACUGGGAUCUCUAAUAAAUAUGUGAAUGUUGAGUACAAAUCCAAAUAACAAAACAAAGCCUGAAGAAAAAGAGUGGUCAAAAUAUUAUUAAUAAUUGACACAAAUACUAUUGAUAACUGUCAUAAUAAAUGCACAGAAUAUGAUAAUUUGUUCACAAGGACUUAGCAAAAUACCUAAUUUCUCAACAAUAACUUAAGAAAUGACAUUUUGAGACUAGGGAAUAUACUAAUAUAUUAAUCAGGCAGAAGUUUCAAUUGCAAACGAGGAAAAUAUAAGUGAAAAGAGAUAAAAUCUCUUGGUUCCCUAUUUUCAAUCUAACAGUUCUGUCAUAUUUACCUUCUCUGCAACCCAAUUUAAAAUCAGGGGAGUGUGAAAAUGGCUUAGCUCAAAAUACAAUAAAACUUCACUCGAUAAUUGAUCCUAAUAGCAAUACUUAAAAAUCUUAUCAGCGUUCAAAUCCUUGUAUCUAAUACUGCAGUAACUAUCAAA